Mesocricetus auratus (golden hamster) is the source of this 2825-nucleotide long non-coding RNA. RefSeq lists it as uncharacterized. The transcript is spliced from 3 exons. NCBI's taxonomy places the organism in Eukaryota, Metazoa, Chordata, Mammalia, Rodentia, Cricetidae. The record is from RefSeq and is a predicted model, not a curated record.
GAUCUCAGACCAGGUGGAAUGGGGAGCCCUGAAGACCUGCCAAGGGUGGAGGCCCUUUACCUCGGAUCGUUGUGAAGUGUUGUCGCCCCAUAGCCGCGAACACCGAACACCGUUGGCCUACUACAGAUGGAGGUCUCACCGAGAUCGAGAAACAAGAGAAACUGCUAAAGAAUUACACUUGAAUGCUGGCCAGCAAGUAAGAGUCCUCGUUGACUCCUGAGCAGGUUCUUUAUGCAGACCUCAAUGGCUUCUGGCUGCACAUUUGGGGAUCUUCAGACCACUUUGGGACUGGCUGGCUUGUGGGUGACAACGGAGAAGGUACAAACUGCUCAUGCUCCUACAGGAGUUUUUUUUGGCAAGAGAUUCCCAUUCUUUGGGUUCAUUCUCAAGCCUCCCUUUCUAAAUCUGUGGUGUCCUACCCCCAAGCUAUAGUUGAACUCCUGUUUAAAGCACAAAAAAUUGCCUUACAAACCUUUGGUAAGCAGCCAGGUCAGGUUGUUACUCCUUUGUCCUGCCAACAAAUAGAGUGGCUGCAAAAUAAUACUUGUGACCGGGCCAUUUUCCUCUCUGUUACUCAGAGUUGUGUUGAUAAUCAUUACCCAUCCAAUAAUUUGGUUUCCUUUUUUAAAAUGCAUCCUUUGAUUUUCCUAAAAAUUGUAGUCUCUCAGCCUAUUCCUAAGGGGCAAAUGGUUUUCACAGAUGGUUCUUCUAAAGGUACAGCUGGAGUCAUGACUUAUCCGAUCAUUAAGACAGCCAAAAAUCCUACAACUUCUGCCCAAAUGGCCGAACUUUCAACUCUGGCCCUUGCUCUACAACUCUUCCCCACGGAAGCAGUCCAACCCUUGGAGAUUGCUGCCUAUGUUGCGCCCAUCUCUAGGAUACAAGAGAGUUUAUUACAGGUACAAGGUCUGCUAUGGCAACGGAGCGAACCUGUAUUUGUGGGACAUCUUAGGGCCCACACCCCUUUGCCAGGGCCCCUCAGCGAAGGAAAUCGCACGGCUGACAGGUAUGCUCAAAUUGGUGUGGUUUUACAAGGGCUCACUAAAGCACAAUCCCUACAUAAACACUUUCAUCUUAGCCCAGGGUCCUUAACACUUUCAUACUGGGAUUACCUAAGAACAGGCUGUUCAAAUAGUUAAGGAUUGCCCUCUUUGUAUAGAAUUUCUUCCUGUGCCUCACUUGAGAGUUAAUCCUCGAGGACUUUUGCCUAACCACAUUUGGCAAAUAGAUGUAACGCAUGUGCCAUCCUUUGGUAAAUUACAAUUUGUCCAUGUUUCUGUAGAUACUUUUUCCCACCUGAUAUUCGUCUCUGCCCACUCUGGUGAAAAAGUGAAAGAUGUUAAGAGCCACUGUUUACAGGCUUUUGCUUACCUGGGGGACCCAAAACAAAUUAAGACUGAAAUGGCCCCGCCUAUGUCAGCAGAGGUUUCAAUCACUUCUGUCUAGAUUUUCAUGUUUCCCCCAAAACUGGAAUUCCUUACAACCCCUGAGGGCAGGCUAUUGUGAAACAUGCUCAUUGCACUCUAAAAGCCUAUUUAGCUAAAGAAGGGGGAUCUUGAGGGCCACCUCUGCUCCCCUCACUCUACUCUAUUAUUUAUCCUCUCUAUCUUAAAAUUUUUAAUUGUGGAUGCUUCUGACAACUCUGCAGCAGAUCGUCAUUGGCAGUCUGCUGUACAGCAAAAACCUCUAGUUAAAUGGGAAGACCUAACCUUGGUCUUUGGAAAGGACCAGAUCCAGUUUUGGUGUGGGCCCAGGUGUCUGUUUGUGUAUUCCCACAGGAUGGUGAGUACUCAAUUUGGGUUCCAGAGCGUUGAGUGCACUCUGUUCCUGCUGAUACUCAUCAGCCACCAAUAGACUCAUUAGGCUUUAAUGAGGAACCCACCUGUCCUGAUGCUGGCGGGUCUUCAGUGUCAGGAGUAUCCAGCUUUAAUCAGCCUCAACCGUAACCUAGGAAAGGCAGCCCUCAGGAUGGAUUUGUCGGCUUGGACAUUUGCUAUAUUCAAUAACACUCCCUCGGGACAAAUGCUUAAUUAUUUCCUCCAGGAAUGCCGCUUGAGAAGCUGUUGGGAUGGUGAAAUAUCAGCCUUGGUGGUCCGUGUUCCAGGUGUCAUGCCUAUUCCAGUGGAACACUCAGGAGAGAACCAGCUCAUCCUCACAGGACACGGGAGUGACUUUGACAUCACAGUGGCUGCAGUUUUUGGCUUCCCUAUCUGUUAGCCUGUUGCCACGGCAGGCAUGCAGGAUAAACCCCCAGGGGAGGAUGCCUCUACAUUAAGUUCCCAAAUUUAUACUAAUUACAAUUGCGCACUUUAAAUCUUAAUUAACAAAUGGACUUAAUCGGCUAUUCUAACUGAGAUCAGGGUGCCUCCCUUUUGGGAGACCCCCAUCUUAACAGGACUGCAGCAGACAGGUCUAUUACUUAAGAUACGAGUGGGUUGCUAGCCCUCGGGAUUAUGACCCUGGGCAACUCAGUCUUUAGCCCUAGUUUGCCAUAUGGAAAGACCACAAGCCCAGAGCCAUUUUCUUACAAAGCAGAUCAUGCUUUCCUUGUCAACAGACAACCCCUCAGUGCAGGCCUGGUUUAGCCAGCAAGACAAAUGAGUUAUCAGUGACGGGUACGUUCCGGGGGACAGCUACCAACCUAAGACAGAGGGUUUGUGAGGCCUGGACAGACUUCUCGAUGAUGGGUAAAACAGAUGUUAACGUCCUGGGCAAGCCGGGCAUUGGUGGUACACACCUUUAAUCCCAGCACUCGGGAGGCAGAGGCAGGCGGAUCUCUGUGAGUUCGAGGCCAGCCUGGUCUACAAAGUGAGUUCCAGCCACAG